AAAAAAAAAAAAAAAAACCUGACCCUACGUAUUUAGUAUAUGAUCAAAAUUCAUAACAUGGAAAUGGAAGCCUAAUACAUUACACAUGGUAUGGCUUCUGAGUUCUGUUCCUGCCGUGCUGAUCCAGGAUUUAUGAUCUGUUUGGUACUGCUGUGGAAGUUAUUAUUGAAAAAAAAUAGCUUCUAAAUAUAUUGGUUUAAAUAUAUUGGUUAGAUGUAUUAAAAAUUGCUUUAAAAUAAAAUUUGACAUGAUUUAGUAUAAAAACUCUAAAAUAAUUAAACAAUUUUUUCUAAAUUGCUCUUUUCAAAGCCAUUUUUUGACUUAUCGACCUAAGAGCUCCAAAUAGGUUCUCAAACAUAGAGAGAGAGAAUGCUGCAACAGACAUAUGUUAAGUUGUACAGGAGACAUAACCAUUUUCAUCCACACAUUAACCAAAGUUUGAACAGGAUUCAACACUUGAUCACUAGUCCCACUUCAUGUCCUUCCCACCAGCACUGCCUCCUCAAUCUUGGGACUUGGAAUGGAGUUCUAUUCUCAAGCCACAAUUUGUUAGAAUGAGAUACCCGAGGAUCAUCAAAAUGUAUAUUAUACAUCAAAGUAUAUGACCCAAUCAUAUUUGAUCUGCCUCCUGCAAUUGCUUUGAUUUACCAGAAAAGUAGUAUCAUGUAAAUAAAUCAUAGGAAACACAUCAAUCAAUCAGUAGUACAAUUAUGGAGGAAUGCAUCAGUCCUUCAU
RNAcentral lists this unclassified non-coding RNA (735 nucleotides) under Hevea brasiliensis (rubber tree). Lineage: Eukaryota; Viridiplantae; Streptophyta; Magnoliopsida; Malpighiales; Euphorbiaceae. The record is from RNAcentral.